This 253-nucleotide ribosomal RNA is filed under the name uncultured bacterium. Its description in RNAcentral is "partial 16S ribosomal RNA". It matches the Rfam family "Bacterial small subunit ribosomal RNA", at positions 524 to 776 of the family's 1533-position model. The record is from RNAcentral.
UACAGAGGGGGCAAGCGUUAUUCGGAAUUAUGGGGCGUAAAGGGCGCGUAGGCGGCUUGGCAAGUGGAAGGUGAAAUCCCUCGGCUUAACCGAGGAACUGCCCUCCAAACUGCUUCGCUUGAGACCGGGAGAGGUGAGUGGAAUUCCCAGUGUAGCGGUGAAAUGCGUAGAUAUUGGGAGGAACACCAGUGGCGAAGGCGGCUCACUGGACCGGUACUGACGCUGAUGCGCGAAAGCGUGGGGAGCAAACGGG